CUGCUCAGUUAAGCUAAGGACUUUAUCUUAUCACAAGUAUUUCAUCUUGAGAAGUUGAAAUUGAGAAAAUGAAGAUCCACAGUGUGUUCCUGGUUUUUGCUCUUGUGACUCUGAUCAAUGCAACACCAGUACCAAACAGUGCUGCACAAAACCAAGCUCCUUCUACAGCUGCUGUAGAAGAUGAAGCUGCUCAGAAGUUCUUUGGUUUACUGGUAAAUGCUUUAUCACACCUGUUUGGAGAUCAAGCUGAUGAGAAACCUGCUGAAAAUCCAAAAAUGUGCUGGUGGAGACCCUUGUUCGGUCGUAGGAAGCCUGUUUUAGUGAAUUGCCUCUACUCACGCCUCCCCUUUUUACCAGUCUCCCUCAGAGGCUGAUGGUCACUGGAACCCUGCUCUCUGCAUGUCUUGCAGUGAGAUGGAGAUCACCAGGUCAACUCAAAUCAGAAGAUAUAGAUAUAGAUUUGAGAUUAUUGUAACAUGAUGAGAAAUGUAAAAGUUUAAAGUGGGGAAAUAAAGUAUUCAUCUUUAAUGCA
RNAcentral lists this long non-coding RNA (532 nucleotides) under Gouania willdenowi (blunt-snouted clingfish). Its description in RNAcentral is "lncRNA (ENSGWIG00000025092.1)". The record is from RNAcentral. Lineage: Eukaryota; Metazoa; Chordata; Actinopteri; Blenniiformes; Gobiesocidae.